ACGGCGAGUGAAGCGGCAACAGCUCAAAUUUGAAAUCUGGCCCUUUCGGGGUCCGAGUUGUAAUUUGUAGAGAGUGCUUCSGGUGAGACCGCGGUCUAAGUCCAUUGGAACAUGGSGUCAUAGAGGGUGAGAAUCCCGUAUGUGACUGCGGAUCGAGCCCAUGUGAAGCCUCUUCGACGAGUCGAGUUGUUUGGGAAUGCAGCUCAAAAUGGGUGGUAAAUUUCAUCUAAAGSUAAAUACUGGCUGGAGACCGAUAGCGCACAAGUAGAGUGAUCGAAAGAUGAAAAGCACUUUGGAAAGAGAGUCAAACAGUACGUGAAAUUGUUGAAAGGGAAGCGCUUGCAACCAGACCUGCCCGUAGGCGAUCAGCCGCUGUUUUCAGCGGUGCACUCGCUCUGCGAUCAGGCCAGCAUCGGUUUCGGCGGCCGGAUAAAGGCCCUGGGAAUGUAGCUUCCUCCGGGGAGUCUUAUAGCCCUCGGUGCAAUGCGGCCAGCCGGGACCGAGGACCGCGCUUCGGCUAGGAUGCUGGCGUAAUGGUUGUAAGCGACCCGUCUUGAAACACGGACCAAGGAGUCUAACAUCUAUGCGAGUGUUUGGGUGUCAAACCCAUGCGCGGAAUGAAAGUGAACGGAGGUGAGAACCCUUAAGGGCGCAUCAUCGACCGAUCCAGAUGUCUUCGGAUGGAUUUGAGUAUGAGCAUAGCUGUUG
RNAcentral lists this ribosomal RNA (708 nucleotides) under Alectoria ochroleuca. Its description in RNAcentral is "eukaryotic LSU rRNA". It matches the Rfam family "Eukaryotic large subunit ribosomal RNA", at positions 86 to 811 of the family's 3401-position model. The record is from RNAcentral. Lineage: Eukaryota; Fungi; Ascomycota; Lecanoromycetes; Lecanorales; Parmeliaceae.